RNAcentral lists this long non-coding RNA (1110 nucleotides) under Capra hircus (goat). RNAcentral's name for it is "lncRNA (ENSCHIG00010014545.1)". The record is from RNAcentral. Lineage: Eukaryota; Metazoa; Chordata; Mammalia; Artiodactyla; Bovidae.
AGAGUCAUACAAGAUGGGCAGGGCUUAAUAAACAUUGACUGCACUUAUGAGGAAGUUCAGUCAUCUGAUAUCAUCAUUAGACUUGAUUUGAAGAAGUAGCUGAAAGUUUAUAGAGCUUAGAAAUUUAGCUCUACGUGAGACCUUAGGGGUCAUGUCAUCAGGGAACCUGAGGCCCUGGAGCAGUUAUAUGAGAGUACUGUGUGCUUCAUCUCGUUGACCUGGAUCUUCCUGUCAAGGCUCCCAAUAGGAAGGAACAGGGAGCAGUGCUUAGUUUGUGUUGUGUGUUCACAACAUUCCAGGUGCCAAACAGAAUUCUUAGGAAGUGAAAGUUUUGCCCCUUGAGGGUUUUAUGUACUAGGAUGUGGCUGUGGUUUUAGCAUUUUAAUUAUUCAAAUCAUAAGAAGGUAAAUAUGUACAAUAAUUAAAACCUUUCUUAUUUUAUGUAAAAGGGAAACGUUGGAAACUUAGAUUUAGAAACUAACUUUUAUUUAGAAAUGUCAUUGCAUCUGACAAAGUUCACUAUCUAAAUCUGAAACUUUCAGGAUUGUUUUAAUAAAAUUUGAAAAAGUAAUUUGUCAUACUGAUCUAUAAAAGUGUGAAUUACUCUGGGGAUUAGCAGGUGAGUUUCUGCAGUAAUUAGGUGUGCCAGAAAUAAUUCCCUGCUUCCCUCCCCCUCUUCCUCCCUCCUUUUCUACGUUUCCUUGCAUUCAUCCUGGCCUCUCAUGUCAUUCUUCCGGGAUUGUCUAAUGAAAUGAGUUUCUCUUCCUCUACCCUAGAAAGUACCACUGUUUCCAUUAUCUCAUGGAGCUAUAUGUGUGUGUGCAUUUUGUUGAUCUCCUAGUAUUUCAAAGAACUAUAAAAACCUAAAAUCAGGAAUGACUGCAGAAAGGGUAUUUUAAUGGAAAAAAAAUUUUUUUUCCUUGACCUGAGGGUUAAUCAGGAUCCUUCUCUCCAUAAUUUUUCAACUUCUCCAUUGCAAGUUUUUUCCUAAUCCAUGAGUGCACUCUUUGGACUUUGAUGAAAUGUGAGGCUUUCUGGUGAAAAAUGCAAAUUGACCAGCAGUCAUAAGCCCUGUGUUCAAGUCUCAGUUUUUUCACUUGCCAGCUGGGG